RNAcentral lists this ribosomal RNA (257 nucleotides) under uncultured bacterium. Its description in RNAcentral is "partial 16S ribosomal RNA". It matches the Rfam family "Bacterial small subunit ribosomal RNA", at positions 524 to 776 of the family's 1533-position model. The record is from RNAcentral.
UACGUAGGGUGCAAGCGUUGUCCGGAAUUAUUGGGCGUAAAGAGCUCGUAGGCGGUUUUGUCGCGUCUGCUGUGAAAACCCGAGGCUCAACCUCGGGCCUGCAGUGGGUACGGGGCAGACUAGAGUGCGGUAGGGGGAGAUUGGAAUUCCUGGUGUAGCGGUGGAAUGCGCAGAUAUCAGGAGGAACACCGGUGGCGAAGGCGGGUCUCUGGGCCGAUACUGACACUGGAGGAGCGAAAGCGUGGGGAGCGAACAGG